Molecule: long non-coding RNA, 713 nt
Organism: Oncorhynchus kisutch (coho salmon)
Lineage: Eukaryota; Metazoa; Chordata; Actinopteri; Salmoniformes; Salmonidae
Exons: 2
Source: RefSeq, a predicted model, not a curated record
GACACCUUGUCAAAGAGAAAGACAAGUUUUUAAGGGCAUAGUCAACAUUGAUCUCACCAGCUUCUCUCAGGAACUUUGCUGUCAUUUCAGUGUGGUGUGACUGAUCUGGAGACAGUGUGGUGGAGGUGGGGUCAUUACCUGCUGACUGACAGAACCCGGCUGUAGCAGCACGGCGCCACCGCUGGAGACACUAUCAAGAACACGUCCACUAUGAGGUGGGAAGGGAAGAGUCAUAUCCACAGUAAGACAUUUUGAAACUUCCAACUACUGUACUUGGGAUCGAGACUAGAGUAAAGCAUUAAGCCAUAACUAACAUUGUUGACCUCAAGUGUGUACUUGUUUCUGUUACCUUUAACAGUAGCACACAGGGUGGUAGAGGACCUGGAUAAAUACAAGGGGCUGCUUCCCUCUCCAUCACCAGGGGCAGAGCUGAGAGUGUUGGAAGAAAAUCAUGUUUUUUGUGAAAUACUUUGACUACUGUUUGUGUUGUGUAUGUUAUAUAUAUAUAUAUUGCCCAAGAAGAUGAAAACAAAUGUAUAAAUCAAUCUUUACUGAGUAAACCUUCAGCCUCUUGACCUUCCAUCUACUCAUGAUGAUUAAUGAUGUUGUUGUUUUUUAAAUUGCUUGUUUUUUUGUUGUUUUUGCUUCACAACGCUUUGAGAUUCUUUAUGUAAGGUAUAGCACUAUAAAAGUUCAAUAAAUUGUUAUUAGUA